UGUAUACAUUUUUUGUACUCUAAGAAAGAGAGACUGUUUUAUGUUUUUGUAGGUAAACAAACAAAAGAGAAAAUUCUUGGCGUUUAUAAUACACUUUUGGUCGUUUUAAAAAUAUGGAUAAUUAAAAGAGCAUUGACGUAUCGCGUUCUUUAUUACUUUCAAGUUAUGUACUUUCCAUGAAGUAUGCUGUGUAUAGUAUGUGAUAUUAAUUGUACGUAGAUAUUUUUUAAAAACACAAAGCCACUGUCAAUGUUACAAUUAAUCACGAAUAAGUGAGUAUGGUUUUAAUACCAAAGAAUAAUAUUAAACUUAAGAAAUAACGAAUAAAAAUGCAACUGAUAACAUUUUUUUUUAAUUUUUCCAUCAUGAGCUAAUAUUAAAGCAAAAGCUACACAGACUGCCUCAGAGCUUUUCUAGCGUAUUAGUGACGUUUAAUUAUAACUUAAACUACUAAAAAUACAGAUUAUAAGUAUUUUAAUCCUGUGUCUCUAAACUAGACUGCUGUUUGAGUCAUUUUUUUCAUAAUGAUUAAUGGUCAAGAAAAUCGAAGAAACACUGAAAAGGUCAAAAAUAUCACGGCUGUGUUUAUUUUUACUCGAUUACAAUGUCUGAAAGAAAUAGCCUUUAAAGUAAUAUUCAAGCGUUUACAAUUAUCAUAUACACGCAAGAAUACCGCAGAAUGAGUAAAUUGUAAAUAAUCAUUGGUGAGCGAAUUUGUUUUACCAUAGACUUAUUUUACAGGCGAUGGUAUUUUCAAAUGCAUAUUUAUUAUGACCUUAUUAACCAAUUAACCAAUGUUGUGCACACUAACUUUCUCUUGAUGACUAAUAGCUUUAAUCAAUAUGAUACAGCAUUUCAAAUAGUAGUUACACCAUUAGCACACCUUAUCUAGGUUUUUUAUCAGAUCAUGUCUGCGAUAAGAGCUUUCAUGGUAUUCAAGCACCUUCUCACGCUUUAGAAAAUCUCUUCUUUCAACUUUUUCGAACACGGAUACCUGUGGAUUCAUCUGCAGUAUCUUUAGAACUGAGGACCUCAUCUGCUUGGACUUCCAUACCAAGAAUAUGAUGAUUGUUAUCGUUAAAUUUGCAUCGCAUACAGGCAACAAUGCUAGCCAUGGUCAACUUUCUCAUAUCCGUACGAAACAACAAUAUAUACGAUGUACUGGACGUCAACAACCAAGAAACCUGGGUGGUAUUAAAUGACAAGCGGGAUUCUAGUAUGCGUCUAGCAACGAUGCCAACUCCAAGUCUCUUUAACUGGGGCAUUACAGAAAGGUCUCACUGACAUGAAUGCACUCAUUUGAGUUACCUGACCCACGGCGUAUGCUGAAAUGAUCAACUUCGCCUUGGCCUCUAUGGAUUACGUCUGUAGUAACGGUUGUCAGCCACAACGUUCGAACGAUGGUACAUGCUACAAAGCUUUUACACUCUGGUCUUCUAUCUGCGUUGCAAGCUGAUGGUGUUCUACUAUUUUUUUGGUAUUUUUGGGAUCACGACAGUAAUGACGGCUGUACAGGUAAUUUUAUUUCGAAUAUGUUGUCAAUGGUAGGCGUAGAUUUGCCUUAGUCGUCAUUUGACCAUAACGCUCGUAAAAGGCGCACUAACAUCUAAAGAAUUUGAGCCAUGAUGUCGACUAGGAAAGUCAUUUAUACCUUUGUUUCUUUUAACUGGAGGAAAUUGCAGCGAAGGAGGAUAUCUUCAACCUUGUUCAAUUCAUAUGAGGUAUUUAAGCAACAAGACAUGCUGAAAAAGUCAACUUUGCCUUGAGAUCCAGCGAGGACUACUUCAAAACUAGAAUUUUUCAUCCAAGAAAAAGUGGCACUGCUGUGGAUAUACUGGGGUAUCUUGGUCAUUGGAUGGUGGUGAAAACACUGACCAAAUAGGUGUCUUCAUACGUGCAUCCUACAUCUAGAUCGAGAGGAAGUAUAACGGAUAUUCUUAAAUUAGCCGGUGAUGACGCAACGUCUAUAGUGAGGAUCUACAUCCAUGGCUUUCAAGCAACGGGGCAAGCUAAGAUGGACUUUCUAAUCUUCAUUUUUUUGGACAAUGCAACUUUCCUGGGCGUUGGUAACUAGGAAGUUUUAGCAAUAGUUAAUACUAGAUGAGCCUUUUUUAUCUUGGACUUGGCUGAAUAGUAAUGCUAAAAAUGGGCGUACUUACAUGGUUUCCUAGCGAUGGAUCAUACUGGAAAUACUGAAAGGGUGUCUUCUACUCUGAUUUUAAUCAACGAUAACAUUAGCACUGAGUGUAUAAAUCCAAGGAAUCUAAGCAACAGAAAAUUGAGCAAGUCUACUUUACUGUGGAAUAAGUCUACUUUAAUAUCUCAACCCAUUCAAAGUAA
RNAcentral lists this long non-coding RNA (2340 nucleotides) under Copidosoma floridanum. Its description in RNAcentral is "uncharacterized LOC106647723, transcript variant X2". Lineage: Eukaryota; Metazoa; Arthropoda; Insecta; Hymenoptera; Encyrtidae. The record is from RNAcentral.